Molecule: unclassified non-coding RNA, 1046 nt
Filed under: Hevea brasiliensis (rubber tree)
Lineage: Eukaryota; Viridiplantae; Streptophyta; Magnoliopsida; Malpighiales; Euphorbiaceae
Source: RNAcentral
AAAGAGCCUCCUUUACCCGCAACCCUCAGCUAUAUUCAACACUAGAAAAAGCCGUACAUCUCUGUGAAAAGCUAAAUCGGUUUCUCUGCGAUGGCAAUGGCAGGGCGUAUUAGAUCUACACUUCCUCACCUACGCAAAGCCCUUUCAUCUGAUUCGAGAUCCGCUCUUUAUCCGGCCAUUAUCUCCAAUCCCGAGUUGUCAAGAAAUUAUGCUACUGCCCCAGCUGCCAAAGAGAAAAAAGUAAAGGUUCCAGUGACUAUGUAUGGGGUUUCUGGAAAUUAUGCCUCAGCUUUGUACAUCUCAGCUGUAAAAGCUAAUACAUUGGAGAAGGUCGAGUCCGAGCUUUUGGACCUUAUUGCGGCUUCAAAGAAAAGUCCUAAAUUUUCUCAGUUUAUGAAGGAUCUCUCUGUACCUACAGAGACAAGAGUGAAGGCCAUGACUGACAUCUCUUCAGAGGCUAAAUUUGGAGAUCUCACAAAGAACUUCUUGGUUGUUUUGGCUGAAAAUGGGAGGCUGAAACAUAUUGAUGCGAUAGCAAAAAGGUUUGCUGAGUUAACCAUGGCACACAAGGGGGAACUUAAAGCCAUUGUAACAACUGUUAUUCCUAUUCCUCCAGAGGAGGAGAAAGAAUUGAAGGAGACAUUGCAAGAGGUGAUGGGAAAAGGGAAGAAGGUGAACAUUGAACAGAAGAUUGAUCCUAGCAUUCUCGGUGGGCUUGUGAUAGAAUUUGGCCAGAAGGUCUUUGACAUGUCAAUUAGGACUAGGGCACGCCAGAUGGAGAGACUCUUGAGGGAACCUAUCAACUUCUGAUCGCGUGAAAUCCCAUUUUAGUUAUUUUACCCUUUUGUGGUUUUAGCUGACGAUGAAAACAUCCUCUUGAGGUGUUUGUUUCUCACAACAAUGUUCUUCUGCAUCUUGCACAAAUAAAAAGCAUACUUUACAUUUGAAUCUUCCAAAGGAAAACCUUGAUGAGGAUUCUUCAUUUUUAUUUUGAAGUUGUACUCACUUUUGUUGAUCAAAACCUUCUUUUAGAGUUUGAAUAACAU